UGCAACUGUAGCAGCCGCCAUGGGAGUUGGAGGUGUUGUCUAGGGUUUCACUACGACACUACCUGGAAGGCUUAUUAUAGGGAGAAGUUGUAGGGAGAAGUUGGGCCGAGUGGAACGAAUGAGGCUGUAGAGGCUUAUUAUAGGGAGAGGGGUCUGGCCCAGUGGAACGAAUGGGAGGGAAAAAUGUUCAUGGAGGGGUGUGUGGGGGGGGUCCAAAUAUUUCUUUAACUGAUCAAAUAGGAGAUAGCUAAUUUUUUUAGCCUAACUGAUCCAAACAAGGGAACAUGAGAAUUGAUUGAUAAAUUCUUGGAAUCGGCCACAUGAUACUCGUCAAUUUCUCAACCAAAGAUCAUUUCUCAAUCAGAAAACCAAAGCUUGUCUACUACUCCAUCCGUUUCAAAAUGCAAGUAGUUUUGAAUUUUCUAUACAGAUAGGUCCUGCUAUGCACCUAAAUAUAGAGUUAUACCUAGAUAAAUAACAUCUAUAGCCUUAACCAGAGCUUGGAGACCCCUUGCAACUGUAGCAGCCGCCAUGGGAGUUGGAGGUGUUGUCUAGGGUUUCACUACGAUACUACCUGGAAGGCUUAUUAUUGGGAGAAGUUGUAGGGAGAAGUUGGGCCGAGUGGAACGAAUGAGGCUGGAGAGGCUUAUUAUAGGGAGAGGGGUCUGGCCCAGUGGAACGAAUGGGAGGGGAAAAUGUUUAUGGAGGGGUGUGUGUGUGGGGGGGGGGUCCAAAUAUUCGUUUAACUGAUCAAAUAGGAGAUAGCUAAUUUUUUUAGCCUAACUGAUCCAAACAAGGGAAAAUGAGAAUUGAUUGAUAAAUUCUUGGAAUUGGUCACAUGAUACCCGUCAAUUUCUCUAACCAAAGAUCAUUUCUCAAUCAGAAAACCAAAGCUUGUCUACUACUCCAUCCGUUUCAAAAUGCAAGUAGUUUUGAAUUUUCUAUACAGAUAGGUCCUGCUAUGCACCUAAAUAUAGAGUUAUACCUAGAUAAAUAACAUCUAUAGCCUUGACCAGAGCUUGGAGACCCCUUGAAACUGUAGCAGCCGCCAUGGGAGUUGGAGGUGUUGUCUAGGGUUUCACUACGACACUACCUGAAAGGCUUAUUAUAGGGAGAAGUUGUAGGGAGAAGUUGGGCCGAGUGGAACGAAUGAGGCUGUAGAGGCUUAUUAUAGGGACAGGGGUCUGGCCCAGUGGAACGAAUGGGAGGGAAAAAUGUUCAUGGAGGGGUGUGUGGGGGGGGUCCAAAUAUUUCUUUAACUGAUCAAAUAGGAGAUAGCUAAUUUUUUUAGCCUAACUGAUCCAAACAAGGGAACAUGAGAAUUGAUUGAUAAAUUCUUGGAAUCGGCCACAUGAUACCCGUCAAUUUCUCAACCAAAGAUCAUUUCUCAAUCAGAAAACCAAAGCUUGUCUACUACUCCAUCCGUUUCAAAAUGCAAGUAGUUUUGAAUUUUCUAUACAGAUAGGUCCUGCCUAUGCACCUAAAUAUAGAGUUAUACCUAGAUAAAUAACAUCUAUAGCCUUAACCAGCAGCUUGGAGACCCCUUGCAACUGUAGCAGCCGCCAUGGGAGUUGGAUGUGUUGUCUAGGGUUUCACUACGACACUACCUGGAAGGCUUAUUAUAGGGAGAAGUUGUAGGGAGAAGGUUGGCCGAUUGGAACGAAUGAGGCUGUAGAGGCUUAUUAUAGGGAGAGGGGUCUGGCCCAGUGGAACGAAUGGGAGGGAAAAAUAGUUCAUGGAGGGGUGUGUGUGUGGGGGGGGGGGUCCAAAUAUUCCUUUAACUGAUAAAAUAGGAGAUAGCUAAUUUUUUUAGCCUAACUGAUCCAAACAAGGCGAACAUGAGAAUUGAUUGAUAAAUUCUUGGAAUCGGCCACAUGAUACCCGUCAAUUUCUCAACCAAAGAUCAUUUCUCAAUCAGAAAACCAAAGAUUGUCUACUACUCCAUCCGUUUCAAAAUGCAAGUAGUUUUAAAUUUUCUAUACAGAUAGGUCCUGCUAUGCACCUAAAUAUAGAGUUAUACCUAGAUAAAUAACAUCUAUAGCCUUGACCAGAGCUUGGAGAUCCCUUGCAACUGUAGCAGCCGCCAUGGGAGUUGGAGGUGUUGUCUAGGGUUUCACUACGACACUACCUGGAAGGCUUAUUAUAGGGAGAAGUUGUAGGGAGAAGGUUGGGCCAAGUGGAACGAAUGAGGCUGUAGAGGCUUAUUAUAGGGAGAGGGGUCUGGCCCAGUGGAACGAAUGGGAGGGAAAAAUGUUCAUGGAGGGGUGUGUGUGGGGGGGGGUCCAAAUAUUCCUUUAACUGAUCAAAUAGGAGAUAGCUAAUUUUUUAGCCUAACUGAUCCAAACAAGGGAACAUGAGAAUUGAUUGAUAAAUUCUUGGAAUCGGCCACAUGAUACCCGUCAAUUUCUCAACCAAAGAUCAUUUCUCAAUCAGAAAACCAAAGCUUGUCUACUACUCCAUCCGUUUCAAAAUGCAAGUAGUUUUGAAUUUUCUAUACAGAUAGGUCCUGCUAUGCACCUAAAUAUAGAGUUAUACCUAGAUAAAUAACAUCUAUAGCCUUGACCAGAGCUUGGAGACCCCUUGCAACUGUAGCAGCCGCCAUGGGAGUUGGAGGUGUUGUCUAGGGUUUCACUACGACACUACCUGGAAGGCUUAUUAUAGGGAGAAGUUGUAGGGAGAAGUUGGGCUGAGUGGAACGAAUGAGGCUGUAGAGGCUUAUUAUAGGGAGAGGGGUCUGGCCCAGUGGAACGAAUGGGAGGGCAAAAAUGUUCAUGGAGGGUGUGUGUUGGGGGGGGUUCCAAAUAUUCCUUUAACUGAUCAAAUAGGAGAUAGCUAAUUUUUUUAGCCUAACUGAUCCAAACAAGGGAACAUGAGAAUUGAUUGAUAAAUUCUUGGAAUCGGCCACAUGAUACCCGUCAAUUUCUCAACCAAAGAUCAUUUCUCAAUCAGAAAACCAAAGGUUGUCUACUACUCCAUCCGUUUCAAAAUGCAAGUAGUUUUGAAUUUUCUAUACAGAUAGGUCCUGCUAUGCACCUAAAUAUAGAGUUAUACCUAGAUAAAUAACAUCUAUAGCCUUGACCAGAGCUUGGAGACCCCUUGCAACUGUAGCAGCCGCCAUGGGAGUUGGAGGUGUUGUCUAGGGUUUCACUACGACACUACCUGGAAGGCUUAUUAUAGGGAGAAGUUGUAGGGAGAAGUUGGGCUGAGUGGAACGAAUGAGGCUGUAGAGGCUUAUUAUAGGGAGAGGGGUCUGGCCCAGUGGAACGAAUGGGAGGCAAAAAUGUUCAUGGAGGGGUGUGUGUGGGGGGGGGGUCCAAAUAUUCCUUUAACUGAUCAAAUAGGAGAUAGCUAAUUUUUUAGCCUAACUGAUCCAAACAAGGGAACAUGAGCAUUGAUUGAUAAAUUCUUGGAAUCGGCCACAUGAUACCCGUCAACCAAAGAUCAUUUCUCAAUCAGAAAACCAAAGCUUGUCUACUACUCUAUCCGUUUCAAAAUGCAAGUAGUUUUGAAUUUUCUAUACAGAUAGGUCCUGCUAUGCACCUAAAUAUAGAGGUAUACCUAGAUAAAUAACAUCUAUAGCCUUAACCAGAGCUUGGAGACCCCUUGCAACUGUAGCAGCCGCCAUGGGAGUUGGAUGUGUUGUCUAGGGUUUCACUACGACACUACCUGGAAGGCUUAUUAUAGAGAGAUGUUGUAGGGAGAAGGUUGGCCAAUUGGACCGAAUGAGGCUGUAGAGGCUUAUUAUAGGGAGAGGGGUCUGGCCCAGUGGAACGAAUGGGAGGGAAAAAUGUUCAUGGAGGGGUGUGUGUGGGGGGGGGGGGGUCCAAAUAUUCCUUUAACUGAUCAAAUAGGAGAUAGCUAAUUUUUUUAGCCUAACUAAUCCAAACAAGGGAACAUGAGAAUUGAUUGAUAAAUUCUUGGAAUCGGCCACAUGAUACCCGUCAAUUUCUCAACCAAAGAUCAUUUCUCAAUCAGAAAACCAAAGCUUGUCUACUACUCCAUCCGUUUCAAAAUGCAAGUAGUUUUGAAUUUUCUAUACAGAUAGGUCCUGCUAUGCACCUAAAUAUAGAGUUAUACCUAGAUAAAUAACAUCUAUAGCCUUGACCAGAGCUUGGAGACCCCUUGCAACUGUAGCAGCCGCCAUGGGAGUUGGAGGUGUUGUCUAGGGUUUCACUACGACACUACCUGGAAGGCUUAUUAUAGGGAGAAGUUGUAGGGAGAAGUUGGGCCGAGUGGAACGAAUGAGGCUUUAGAGGCUUAUUAUAGGGAGAGGGGUCUGGCCCAGUGGAACGAAUGGGAGGCAAAAAUGUUCAUGGAGGGGUGUGUGGGGGGGGGGUCCAAAUAUUCCUUUAACUGAUCAAAUAGGAGAUAGCUAAUUUUUUAGCCUAACUGAUCCAAACAAGGGAACAUGAGAAUUGAUUGAUAAAUUCUUGGAAUCGGCCACAUGAUACCCGUCAAUUUCUCAACCAAAGAUCAUUUCUCAAUCAGAAAACCAAAGCUUGUCUACUACUCUAUCCGUUUCAAAAUGCAAGUAGUUUUGAAUUUUCUAUACAGAUAGGUCCUGCUAUGCACCUAAAUAUAGAGGUAUACCUAGAUAAAUAACAUCUAUAGCCUUAACCAGAGCUUGGAGACCCCUUGCAACUGUAGCAGCCGCCAUGGGAGUUGGAUGUGUUGUCUAGGGUUUCACUACGACACUACCUGGAAGGCUUAUUAUAGAGAGAUGUUGUAGGGAGAAGGUUGGCCAAUUGGACCGAAUGAGGCUGUAGAGGCUUAUUAUAGGGAGAGGGGUCUGGCCCAGUGGAACGAAUGGGAGGGAAAAAUGUUCAUGGAGGGGUGUGUGUGGGGGGGGGUCCAAAUAUUCCUUUAACUGAUCAAAUAGGAGAUAGCUAAUUUUUUUAGCCUAACUAAUCCAAACAAGGGAACAUGAGAAUUGAUUGAUAAAUUCUUGGAAUCAGCCACAUGAUACCCGUCAAUUUCUCAACCAAAGAUCAUUUCUCAAUCAGAAAACCAAAGCUUGUCUACUAAUCCAUCCGUUUCAAAAUGCAAGUAGUUUUGAAUUUUCUAUACAGAUAGGUCCUGCUAUGCACCUAAAUAUAGAGUUAUACCUAGAUAAAUAACAUCUAUAGCCUUGACCAGAGCUUGGAGACCCCUUGCAACUGUAGCAGCCGCCAUGGGAGUUGGAGGUGUUGUCUAGGGUUUCACUACGACACUACCUGGAAGGCUUAUUAUAGGGAGAAGUUGUAGGGAGAAGUUGGGCCGAGUGGAACGAAUGAGGCUUUAGAGGCUUAUUAUAGGGAGAGGGGUCUGGCCCAGUGGAACGAAUGGGAGGCAAAAAUGUUCAUGGAGGGGUGUGGGGGGGGGGGGUCCAAAUAUUCCUUUAACUGAUCAAAUAGGAGAUAGCUAAUUUUUUAGCCUAACUGAUCCAAACAAGGGAACAUGAGAAUUGAUUGAUAAAUUCUUGGAAUCGGCCACAUGAUACCCGUCAAUUUCUCAACCAAAGAUCAUUUCUCAAUCAGAAAACCAAAGCUUGUCUACUACUCCAUCCGUUUCAAAAUGCAUGUAGUUUUGAAUUUUCUAUACAGAUAGGUCCUGCUAUGCACCUAAAUAUAGAGUUAUACCUAGAUAAAUAACAUCUAUAGCCUUAACCAGAGCUUGGAGACCCCUUGCAACUGUAGCAGCCGCCAUGGGAGUUGGAUGUGUUGUCUAGGGUUUCACUACGACACUACCUGGAAGGCUUAUUAUAGAGAGAUGUUGUAGGGAGAAGGUUGGCCAAUUGGAACGAAUGAGGCUGUAGAGGCUUAUUAUAGGGAGAGGGGUCUGGCCCAGUGGAACGAAUGGGAGGGAAAAAUGUUCAUGGAGGGGUGUGUGUGGGGGGGGUCCAAAUAUUCCUUUAACUGAUCAAAUAGGAGAUAGCUAAUUUUUUUAGCCUAACUGAUCCAAACAAGGGAACAUGAGAAUUGAUUGAUAAAUUCUUGGAAUCGGCCACAUGAUACCCGUCAAUUUCUCAACCAAAGAUCAUUUCUCAAUCAGAAA
RNAcentral lists this long non-coding RNA (6033 nucleotides) under Setaria viridis. RNAcentral describes it as "long non-coding RNA (SVIR_LNC005311)". The record is from RNAcentral. Lineage: Eukaryota; Viridiplantae; Streptophyta; Magnoliopsida; Poales; Poaceae.